CAGCAGCCGCGGGAAUACGUAGGGUGCGAGCGUUAAUCGGAAUUACUGGGCGUAAAGCGUGCGCAGGCGGUUUUGUAAGACUGGCGUGAAAUCCCCGGGCUCAACCUGGGAAUGGCGCUUGUGACUGCAAAGCUAGAGUGCGGCAGAGGGGGAUGGAAUUCCGCGUGUAGCAGUGAAAUGCGUAGAUAUGCGGAGGAACACCGAUGGCGAAGGCAAUCCCCUGGGCCUGCACUGACGCUCAUGCACGAAAGCGUGGGGAGCAAACAGGAUUAGAUACCCCAGUAGUCCCUGUCUCUUAUAC
Molecule: ribosomal RNA, 301 nt
Filed under: uncultured bacterium
Lineage: Bacteria
Description: partial 16S ribosomal RNA
Rfam family: Bacterial small subunit ribosomal RNA
Source: RNAcentral